Dendrobium catenatum is the source of this 1951-nucleotide RNA transcript. RefSeq lists it as uncharacterized. Lineage: Eukaryota; Viridiplantae; Streptophyta; Magnoliopsida; Asparagales; Orchidaceae. The transcript is spliced from 17 exons. The record is from RefSeq and is a predicted model, not a curated record.
CGGUUAGCUUGGCAAAUGCGCUCGUCUGUUCUCAUUUUCCACUGUGCCGUCAGCCACGGCAUGACUCUCUUCCUACGGCCGCCGCUUCUGGUCACCGCCCGCCUAGCUAUCAGCCACCCGCCAUACCUACCACAGAAGGUGGAGGCGAAAGGCGUAAUAGCGGCUUCUUGCCCCUCGCUUGCUCACGAGAAGCCUAGCUUCAACCUCGAGUCUGUAUCAUCUUCUUCAUUGACCGCCGCCACUGCGCUCCAGUGUCUACAUUUCCAAUCGUGCUCGGGGUGCUCGCAGGAAUGGGAUUUGGACCAGCCACACAUAGUUACAGAAGCCAAAAAAUUCUUUAAGGAACUCGGCAUCUCUGAUUUGAACUUCGAGAGUGGAAUGUUGGCGGAAUGGAGAUGUCGAGCUAAGUUGGCUGUUCGAGGAACAUCAGAAAGGCCAUUAAUAGGGUUAUACGAAGAGGGAACACAUAACGUUGUUGAUAUUCCUUUGUGCAGAGCACACCACCCAAACAUUAAUGUUGCAGUUAACCUUUUAAAACAAGGUAUUUCUGCAUUAAAUAUUCAACCUUAUGAUGAGGACCUAGGAACUGGUGAACUGCGUUAUGUUCAGAUUGCAGUGACGACAUAUAACACAUCCCUUCCAGCAGCAGAGAGAUAUCAAAAUGGAAAAGUGCAGGUAUCACUGGUUUGGAAUUCCAGAAAUGAGCAGUCAGAGAGUUAUAAAAAGCUGAAUGCAUUGGCUGAGUUUUUAUGGAGAAAUGCGGGACCAAAAAGUAACAGUCAUUUAUUUCACUCCAUAUGGGUUAACUUUCAGACAUCAUCAAGCAAUAUUAUCUUUGGAAAUAGGUGGAGGCUUCUGCUCGGGGAAAGAGAUUUCUGGGAACAUAUUGGAGGUAUUGAUGUUUGCCUGGAUCCUUGUAGCUUUGGCCAGGCAAAUACACAGGCUUUUAAUUCCUUGUUAAGGAAACUGCAGAAAUAUGUUCCAUAUGGAUCAUCUGUUGUUGAUUUAUAUGCAGGAGCAGGUGUCAUUGGACUAUCUGUAGCUGCCACCAGGAAAUGUAGGUCCCUGAGAUGUGUUGAGAUAAACAAAGAGUCAAAAUUAUCUUUUGAAAAAUCAUUAAGCCGUUUUCCGAAACAUAUAGAUUGUAGUGUACAUUGGCAUAAUACAGAUGCAUCAAUUGAACCUCUUCACUGGUUGAAAGGGUCAAAUGUUGUUAUUGUGGAUCCCCCAAGAAAAGGAGUUGAGCAAUCUCUACUAGACGCGUUAAGGGAAAUUUCUAAAUGUAAAGAUUCCAAAGUACCUAAGAGCUCCAUCAUAAACGAAAAAGAAGAAAAGAGACCGUGGAUUUUGCGUGCAAGGAAAGCCACAGUUCAUGUGGAAAGCAAGACCAGUAUUAACUGGGCGAAAGAUCAGACAUGGCCUGAAUUUAUCAUCUAUGUAAGCUGUGGUUGGGAAAGCUUCAAGGAGAAUUGUCAGUAUUUGCUGUUCAACAAUGCUUGGCAUUUGGAAAAGGCUCAUGCUUUCAAUUUCUUUCCUGGUACCGAGAGCAUAGAGAUCCUGGCUCUGUUCAAACGGGGUCCUCGGGCUAAUCAUACGAAAAAGAAGUCAGGAAAAAAGAAGAAACCUUGAUGAUCGACCUUUGAAAGGUUAUCGGAAGCCCACCGUUUUAUGUGACCAAGCCAUAAGCUUGGGAGCAGUGAAUCAACUUGAUCAUGAUCAUUAAGAUUGUAGAUUGGCAUUAUAAAGGAGUACAUUAACUACAUGAUUGUAGAUUGAUCAUGUUAAAUCAACUACAUGAUUUUUUUUUCAUGACUUUGACGAUGAAGAAAAAGUAUGCCAAUUUCAUUAUUUUCAAUAUGAAACUUGCGUCUUAUAUUAGUGAAUUAGCGUUAAAUCAUACUUGAAUUUAAAGCUUGUUAAUGUUCAUGGAUCUGGAUAUGCUUUUUCCCAA